RNAcentral lists this ribosomal RNA (392 nucleotides) under uncultured bacterium. RNAcentral's name for it is "partial 16S ribosomal RNA". It matches the Rfam family "Bacterial small subunit ribosomal RNA", at positions 523 to 918 of the family's 1533-position model. The record is from RNAcentral.
AUACGGAAGGUCCGGGCGUUAUCCGGAUUUAUUGGGUUUAAAGGGAGCGCAGGCGGAGAUGCAAGCGUGACGUCAAAUUUCGGGGCUCAACCCCGUCUCGCGUCGCGAACUGCAUCCCUUGGUUGCGGGAAGGGGAGGCGGAACUCGUGGUGUAGCGGGGAGAUGCAUAGAUAUCACGAAGAACUCCGAUCGCGAAGGCAGCCUUCCGGCCCGUCAACGACGCUCAUGCUCGAAGGUGCGGGUAUCAAACAGGAUUAGAUACCCUGGUAGUCCGCACAGUAAACGAUGGGCGCUCGUCGUCGGCGGCAGACAGUCGGCGGCCAAGCGAAAGCGAUAAGCGCCCCACCUGGGGAGUACGGUCGCAAGGCUGAAACUUAAAGGAAUUGGCGGGG